AGGUACAAGGGGUAAGCUUUGCUUUUUUUUACUUUUAAUAAUUCUUUCAUCUUUCCCUUAUGGUACUUUCUCUAUAGCGCCAUUGAUGACUAAAUUUCUAUCUCCUAUACUUUAGAUGUAUGGUAAAUGUUUUAUUUGAUUAGUUUAUGGUCGUAGCAGUGGAGAGGGUAUGGGCUAGGUAUAGUUCAAGAUAUACGGGUUGUGGAAUCUUCUAGGUGUAAACUAGAUGCUUUGUUUAAGCUAUAUCUUGUUUUAUCCAAGCACACUUUCCAGUAUGCUUACCUUGUUACGACUUGUCUCCUCUCGUAUAGUUGCUUAGCAUGGGUUAGUGAACUGGGGCUUUGCUAUGAUACUUGAGGAGGGUGAUGGGUGGUGUGUGUGUGCUUCAUGGCCUUAUUCAAUUAAGCACUCUACUCUUAAUUUACUACUAAAUCCUCCUUUGGUUUUUAGAUUUCAUAAAAACUUUCGUGUGGAUAUAAGGGGUGUUCUUAAUAUAGAAAAUGUAGCCCAUUUCUUCCCAUCCCAUAGGUUACACCUUGACCUAACGUUUUUAUGUAUGGUAGUUAUGCUUACUUUCGCUCCCUUUUAGGGUUUGCUGAAGAUGGCGGUAUAUAGACUGAAGUAGCAAGGGUUGGUGAGGUUAAUCGGGGUUUAUCGGUUACAGAACAGGCUCCUCUAGAGGGAUACGAAGCACCACCAAGUCCUUUGAGUUUUAGGCUGUUGCCAGUAAUACUCUGGCGAAUAGUCUUGUUUUGGGACUAUUUAAGUUUACGACUAAGCAUAGUGGGGUGUCUAAUCCCCAUUUGGGUCUCAGUUGUCAUGUAUUCAGAUUGUACUAAAGUCACUUUCGUGGUUUGGCUUAGUUUUAAUUAUGGCUUUUUACAGCUUAAUUAGGAUUUGACUUUAUUUUGUGUGAUUCCUUAACACUCUUUACGCUGGGUCUCUAUUAAUUUGGGUCAAUCGUAUGACCGCGGUGGCUGGCACGAAGUUUACCAACUAGCUAACAUAACUUAGUCAAACUUUCGUUCAUGGCUUAAUUUUUAUCACUGCUGUGUCCCGUGGGGGUGUGGCUAAGCAAGGUGUCGUGAGCUGCUAGUGCAGUGUGCUUGCUACCCGCUCCUUGUGAUCUUUAUGAUUUGGAGGGCAUUCUCACCGGGUGUGGAUGCUUGCAUGUGUAAGUCUGUUAAGAAUUAAUAGAAAGGCUGGGACCAAACCUUUAUGUUGAUGGGGCUGGCGAGCCCAUCUAGACAUUUUCAGUGUCUUGCUUUAUGAAAAAUUUAAGCUACAUUAACCUAUGGGGUGUAAAAGAUGUUCGUAUAAUUUCAUUAUGGGGCUUGUGUCAGAUUUAGUAUUGAUUUACGAAAAAAAAGAUUCGUGGAUCUAGGGACGAAGCUGUCUAGGGGGGUGGUGAAUAUCUAAGCAGACGGUCAGUUUUGUAGGGGGUAAGGGGGGUUUGGACCCCUAUGAGAUACAGUUUUUUGAGCCCGGGGGGAAUAGUGGAGUACUAUGUCCUGUGACCAUUAAUUUAACUGCACACGUUGGUUGUGCUACUCAAGUCAAAAAUACAUACAAGUCCAGCUACAAUUUGCUUGACUGUGACGAGACCUUUUAAGGUCAUAGCUGAGUCUGUGCAGGCCCCCCCCCCACACACACCAAAAAUAAAAAAUACCAAAUGUAUGGAAUCUCAGUUAUGUGUGAGCAUGGGCUGAUUAGUCAUUAAUCCAUCGAGAUGUCUUAUUUAAGGGGAACGAGUGGGCGAUUUUAAGUUAAAAUGGUCCUGAAGUAAGAACCAGAUGUCUUAUAAAGAUCACCGUUAGCUACCCCCACGAGGUAUGGGCCCGGUGCGAGAAGAGGGAUCCCUGCCGAGCGGGUUGCUGGUUUCACGCGGCAUGGUGAUUAAGCUCGUGAUCUAAUGGAGCGGCCAUAGGAUAUUAUGGAGCUGAAAUUAAAAG
Long non-coding RNA from Aethalodelphis obliquidens (Pacific white-sided dolphin), 1952 nucleotides. RefSeq lists it as uncharacterized. Lineage: Eukaryota; Metazoa; Chordata; Mammalia; Artiodactyla; Delphinidae. The transcript has 4 exons. The record is from RefSeq and is a predicted model, not a curated record.